RNAcentral lists this long non-coding RNA (1185 nucleotides) under Gouania willdenowi (blunt-snouted clingfish). RNAcentral's name for it is "lncRNA (ENSGWIG00000005734.1)". Lineage: Eukaryota; Metazoa; Chordata; Actinopteri; Blenniiformes; Gobiesocidae. The record is from RNAcentral.
AAUGGAUGGGCCCAGUGUGAACUGGAAACUCUUCGACAUUUUCCAGAAAGAUCAAUCUGAGCAGUACGGAGGUGUUCAGCUCAUUUGUGUGGGGAGCUGUGGCUUACACACGCUACACAACGCAUUCAAGUGUGGGUUCAGUGCAUGGCAGCUGGACAAGUUGCUGAGAGCAAUGCACACAUUGUUUCACAAUGUGCCUGCCAGGAGAGAGGAUUACAUCACCAUAACCAAGUCCAGUGUGUUCCCCCUGUCUUUCUGUGCCCAUCGUUGGGUAGAAAACCUUCCGGUUGUGGAGAGAGCCUUGGCUGUCUGGCCAUCACUUCUCCUGUACAUGGAAGCUGUGAAAACAAAGAGACUCUCCAACCCUGGGACAGCAUCCUGUGACACAGUUGCAGCAGCCAUAAAGGAUCCACUCAUCUUGGCCAAAUUGCAGUUCUACGCAGCACUUGCCAGGACCUUCACUCCCUUCUUGAAAAAAUAUCAGACAGAUAAUCCUGUGCUCCCAUUCCUCCCCAAGGAUCUCACCGAGUUGAUGAUGAGUCUACUCAGACGUUUCAUAAAGAGAGAAGUCCUCCACGAUAUCACUGCCCUGCAGCUGACCAAACUGGAUGUUACAGACAAGACCAUCUGGCUCAGCCCACAAGACAUCAGCAUUGGUCUAGGUGCAGAGUCGGUCCUUAAGAGCAUCAAAGGUGCAGAGCUCAGGGUGCUAGAGUUCAAGAGAGAGUGCAUGCAGGGACUGUGUAACAUCAUCAGGAAAGUGCAGGACAAGAGCCCCCUCAAGUAUCUGACUGUUAGGCAGUUGGUGUGCCUGGAUCCGUCAGUAAUGUACAGAGAACCCGAAAGAUGCAGGAAUCACAUGAAAGGGCUGGUUCAGAGGUUUCUUCAGGAUAAACAGCUAACUGAUACUUCUGCAGGGGACGUCAUACUGCAGCAGUUUGACAGUCUCCUGUCCUUGGAGAGCAGGAGUGAGGACUUCCUCUCCUUUCCUCCCAUGCAGAAGAGGCUGGACGUCUUCCUGUGCAGUGCCAUGGAGCCUUAUCCAGAGCUGUGGGCCUUCUGCAAGAAGCUGCUCAUCCUCUCCCACGGCCAAGCUACGGUUGAACGUGGAUUCUCCAUCAAUAAAGAGGUUGAGUCAGAUAACUUGAAGGAGGACACUGUGGUCACACGGAGACUGGUGUGUGA